This 641-nucleotide ribosomal RNA is filed under the name uncultured archaeon. RNAcentral's name for it is "bacterial SSU rRNA". It matches the Rfam family "Archaeal small subunit ribosomal RNA", at positions 165 to 804 of the family's 1478-position model. The record is from RNAcentral.
AGGUACUGGAAGGUCCUCAGGCCGAAAGGGGCUCUGCCCGCCCGAGGAUGGGCCGGCGGCCGAUUAGGUAGUUGGUGGGGUAACGGCCCACCGAGCCGAAGAUCGGUACGGGCCAUGAGAGUGGGAGCCCGGAGAUGGACACUGAGACACGGGUCCAGGCCCUACGGGGCGCAGCAGGCGCGAAACCUCCGCAAUGCGGGCAACCGCGACGGGGGGACCCCCAGUGCCGUGGCAACGCCACGGCUUUUCCGGAGUGUAAAAAGCUCCGGGAAUAAGGGCUGGGCAAGGCCGGUGGCAGCCGCCGCGGUAAUACCGGCGGCCCGAGUGGUGGCCGCUAUUAUUGGGCCUAAAGCGUCCGUAGCCGGGCCCGUAAGUCCCUGGCGAAAUCCCACGGCUCAACCGUGGGGCUUGCUGGGGAUACUGCGGGCCUUGGGACCGGGAGAGGCCGGGGGUACCCCUGGGGUAGGGGUGAAAUCCUAUAAUCCCAGGGGGACCGCCAGUGGCGAAGGCGCCCGGCUGGAACGGGUCCGACGGUGAGGGACGAAGGCCAGGGGAGCGAACCGGAUUAGAUACCCGGGUAGUCCUGGCUGUAAAGGAUGCGGGCUAGGUGUCGGGCGAGCUUCGAGCUCGCCCGGUGCCGA